This 253-nucleotide ribosomal RNA is filed under the name uncultured bacterium. RNAcentral describes it as "partial 16S ribosomal RNA". It matches the Rfam family "Bacterial small subunit ribosomal RNA", at positions 524 to 776 of the family's 1533-position model. The record is from RNAcentral.
UACGUAGGGGGCAAGCGUUGUUCGGAUUCACUGGGCGUAAAGGGUGCGUAGGCGGUCGGGUAAGUCUGAUGUGAAAUCUCACAGCUUAACUGUGAAACUGCAUUGGAUACUAUCCGGCUAGAGGAAUGGAGGGGAGACUGGAAUACUUGGUGUAGCAGUGAAAUGCGUAGAUAUCAAGUGGAACACCAGUGGCGAAGGCGAGUCUCUGGACAUUUCCUGACGCUGAGGCACGAAAGCCAGGGGAGCAAACGGG